UACAGAGGGUGCAAGCGUUGUCCGGAUUUAUUGGGCGUAAAGAGUUCGUAGGCGACUGGUAAAGUCACUUUUCAAAGACCGGAGCUCAACUUCGGGAAGGGGGGUGAUACUUAUCAGAUUGAAAAGUUCCGGGGCUACUGGAACUUACGGUGUAGGAGUGAAAUCCGUUGAUAUCGUAAGGAACACCAAGGGCGAAGGCGGGUAGCUAGGAACAUUUUGACGCUGAGGAACGAAAGCUAGGGGAGCGAAA
This 250-nucleotide ribosomal RNA is filed under the name uncultured bacterium. Its description in RNAcentral is "partial 16S ribosomal RNA". It matches the Rfam family "Bacterial small subunit ribosomal RNA", at positions 524 to 773 of the family's 1533-position model. The record is from RNAcentral.